Long non-coding RNA from Brassica napus (rape), 1795 nucleotides. RefSeq lists it as uncharacterized. The transcript has 7 exons. NCBI's taxonomy places the organism in Eukaryota, Viridiplantae, Streptophyta, Magnoliopsida, Brassicales, Brassicaceae. The record is from RefSeq and is a predicted model, not a curated record.
AUAUAUAUUGAAAGUUGAGUAAAGUUAGAUUUUAAAUCAUUCAUUUAAGAACAUAAGAUUUUAUAAUAGAACCUCAAAUCAUCAUUCGAAUCACAGUAAAUUGCGUUUAGAUUUAAAUUCGAUUAAAAUAGAUAAUUGAAUUGCUAAAAAAGAAAAUAACAACACCUUAGAUAACACAUCUAUCUAUCUCUAUAUAUAAAGGAGAGAGACAACUCUCCUUAGGCUAUCCAGCUCAGCAAAGAGGUAGGGGGUUUAGACACCACGUGGCAUCUAAAAAACAAAGAAAUUGCUCUCUCCGGUUUGUGUUGUUUUUACGUGAUGGGCUCUACGAUUGUAUUUUAAUUUUGGUUUGUGUUUUGCUACAUUUUGCUUGGGCUUUAUGCAUAAUCUUAACCCCAUAUAAAUUAGGUUUUCUAUUCUUCUGGCCUUUAAUCACCUUUCAGCUCACGGUUACGUUUUACCUUUAAAUCAGCUCGUCAUGAUUGCAUCAGAACAUCAGUUACUCUUUCUUCUUCGUCUAUCUUCUACAAUCUCACGUUGAUUAAAUAUACCUCGGGUCUUUGCUUCGUUUAUGAUCUCAGAAGCCUAAGCAGCAAACAGCAAAUUGAGGAUUGAGAAGGCUGAUGUGUAGUUGCGUGAGUCAGUAUGUCAAAGAGAACGUAGCUUUGGAAAUCUGAGCUUAGGUAUGGAAGGCAAGCCUGAAGUCAUCGGUGAUACUAGGAGAAGGUAGUAACCAGAUAUGUGACGCAGGACAAGCUCUUAUUAACGAAAACUUAUAUGAAAGGUUAUGUAGUCAUGUAUACUUUUUAUUGGCAGCAGACAAGAAACAAUAUGGAGAAUUAUACGCUAUCUUAAAGGAAAUUCAAGGGCUACUUAGGCACGGUGUAGCUGCUGUUAAGAUUUCUACUCAGUUCUCACUUUGGUAUCUGCUUUAUUGAAUUUCUUCCUCCAUUCACAAACAGCUGCUUCUCCAUCCUGACUCUGAUGAUUCCGCUUAGCUAUCCCAGAUUCAGACGGGAAAGCUUUUGACCUAUAUUACUUACUGAAAUGAACAAGCGCUUGAAGGCACGUGCAAGGGCAAUAAUUUCAAUGCUAUAUGUCACUUCCUUGGUUACCAAGCUUGCGGAUCUCUCACACUGAAAUUCAAUUGUUAUUAUGCAUAUGUAAGUCACUGCCACUCUGACCACAACACUAAUUCCACAUCCUCGCUGCAGGUUUAAAUGGUGACAUGGAAACAAUGACCAACUCUAAAAGUCAUGUAAACAAGUGGAAAUCUGGUGCUGUACCUACUAAAAUUGGCAGACGUACAAUUCAUCCGAUUUGUAACAGGCUUUCAGACAGAACACAGAGAAACCCACGACCUCUUCAGGUGCACAUUAGCCACUUUGUUAUUCAUGUGCAGAACCCACGACCUCUUCAGUAUGAUGGUCCCUGAUGCUGCAGAUUACAUGGGACGUAUCAAUAUAAGCGACAUAAAUGAAGGACACACUUGCUACUAAAGGAGGUGAACAACUAUCAAUAGCCUUCUCCUUCUAGAGCUCGUAAUCUCUUUGAAGUUGAUCUUUUAAUUGAUCUUUGUGUUGUUUAUAGUUUUCUAAUAGAGAAAAAAAUUAUCAUGGUAAGAUACUACAAGGCUGUGGGAGAUUAGCAAGUAAGCCCGAGGAAGAAUCAAAUUAAGAGAAAAAAACGAAUGCUCUGAUUUUUGUAUACACCAUACAAGACGCUACUACUCUUAGACUUGGUGGUGAAGAGUGAAUGGAAUGGACAAGAAAAAAAAGAACAAUGAUAACGACAA